ACUCCCAUUCCACUGUCUGUCUCAAUAGCUCAGAAUAGACAGCAUAUAUAGGCUCGUCCGAUAAACGUCCACGGAAUUCUCCGCCUUCCACAACAUAUGACGGGAGUGACUCACUCAUGUUACCUAAUCUCAGCCUCGGGCGAGGCAGGGACACAUUCCCUGCAGUCGGUGAGGAGGGCACAGAAACGCGGAGACAGCGAAGGCGCCUUUGGCCUACGUGAGGACUCCGCUCCCCAGGCCUUGAUUCGGGCUGCCGGGCAGUCUAGCUCUACUCCUACUCUUGCACCCAGGUUUCCCUCUAGUGUGGGAGGAGAGAAGGCAAGGGGGCUGUUAUUGGCUCUCAUCCCUUCACGGAGCCAGCCUGUGGCCGUAGUUAGCUCUUUUACUUCAGAGUUCGGCGUAGCUUUCCUGCCUUCCACAUAUCUGCUGCAUUUCCUACGCCGCCACCA
Long non-coding RNA from Nothoprocta perdicaria, 449 nucleotides. RefSeq lists it as uncharacterized. Lineage: Eukaryota; Metazoa; Chordata; Aves; Tinamiformes; Tinamidae. The record is from RefSeq and is a predicted model, not a curated record. The transcript is spliced from 2 exons.